This 70-nucleotide transfer RNA is filed under the name Paracolopha morrisoni. RNAcentral's name for it is "tRNA-Ile". Lineage: Eukaryota; Metazoa; Arthropoda; Insecta; Hemiptera; Aphididae. The record is from RNAcentral.
AAUAAAAUGCCUGAAAAAGGAUUACUUUGAUAGAGUAAAUCAUGUAUAAUAUUUUAAUAUACUUUUAUUA